UACGUAGGGUGCAAGCGUUGUCCGGAAUUAUUGGGCGUAAAGAGCUCGUAGGCGGUCUGUCGCGUCUGCUGUGAAAAUCCAGGGCUCAACCCUGGACCUGCAGUGGGUACGGGCAGACUAGAGUGCGGUAGGGGAGAUCGGAAUUCCUGGUGUAGCGGUGAAAUGCGCAGAUAUCAGGAGGAACACCGGUGGCGAAGGCGGAUCUCUGGGCCGUAACUGACGCUGAGGCGCGAAAGCGUGGGGAGCAAACAGG
Molecule: ribosomal RNA, 253 nt
Filed under: uncultured bacterium
Lineage: Bacteria
Description: partial 16S ribosomal RNA
Rfam family: Bacterial small subunit ribosomal RNA
Source: RNAcentral